AACGCACAUUGCGCCCCUCGGUAUCCCGGGGGGCAUGCCUGUUCGAGCGUCAUUUCUAACACUCAAGUUUUACUUGGUAUUGGGCACUGUUAUCCAUCUUUUAGAUGCUAAACACGCCUUAAAUGUAGCCGGCAACAAGCACCAGUUCCGAGCGUAGCAGUAAAAUCUUUCGCUUUUAGGGGCUUUGGGGCAUUGUUCACCGUAUAGUUUCACUAUAGUUUGACCUCGGAUCAGGUAGGGAUACCCGCUGAACUUAA
Molecule: unclassified non-coding RNA, 257 nt
Filed under: uncultured fungus
Lineage: Eukaryota; Fungi
Description: partial contains 5.8S ribosomal RNA, internal transcribed spacer 2, and large subunit ribosomal RNA
Rfam family: 5.8S ribosomal RNA (bases 1-52)
Source: RNAcentral